This 337-nucleotide unclassified non-coding RNA is filed under the name soil metagenome. Its description in RNAcentral is "partial contains 5.8S ribosomal RNA, internal transcribed spacer 2, and large subunit ribosomal RNA". The stretch from base 1 to 120 matches the Rfam family "5.8S ribosomal RNA", at positions 35 to 154 of the family's 154-position model. The record is from RNAcentral.
GAUGAAGAACGCAGCGAAAUGCGAUAAGUAAUGUGAAUUGCAGAAUUCAGUGAAUCAUCGAAUCUUUGAACGCACAUUGCGCCCCCUGGCAUUCCGGGGGGCAUGCCUGUCCGAGCGUCAUUUCUGCCCUCAAGCACGGCUUGUGUGUUGGGUGUGGUCCCCCCGGGGACCUGCCCGAAAGGCAGCGGCGACGUCCGUCUGGUCCUCGAGCGUAUGGGGCUCUGUCACUCGCUCGGGAAGGACCUGCGGGGGUUGGUCACCACCAUGUUUUACCACGGUUGACCUCGGAUCAGGUAGGAGUUACCCGCUGAACUUAAGCAUAUCAAUAAGCGGAGGA